RNAcentral lists this ribosomal RNA (831 nucleotides) under Penicillium sp. RNAcentral describes it as "partial large subunit ribosomal RNA". It matches the Rfam family "Eukaryotic large subunit ribosomal RNA", at positions 71 to 918 of the family's 3401-position model. The record is from RNAcentral. Lineage: Eukaryota; Fungi; Ascomycota; Eurotiomycetes; Eurotiales; Aspergillaceae.
GGGAUUGCCCCAGUAACGGCGAGUGAAGCGGCAAGAGCUCAAAUUUGAAAGCUGGCUCCUUCGGGGUCCGCAUUGUAAUUUGCAGAGGAUGCUUCGGGAGCGGUCCCCAUCUAAGUGCCCUGGAACGGGACGUCAUAGAGGGUGAGAAUCCCGUAUGGGAUGGGGUGUCCGCGCCCGUGUGAAGCUCCUUCGACGAGUCGAGUUGUUUGGGAAUGCAGCUCUAAAUGGGUGGUAAAUUUCAUCUAAAGCUAAAUAUUGGCCGGAGACCGAUAGCGCACAAGUAGAGUGAUCGAAAGAUGAAAAGCACUUUGAAAAGAGAGUUAAAAAGCACGUGAAAUUGUUGAAAGGGAAGCGCUUGCGACCAGACUCGCUCGCGGGGUUCAGCCGGCAUUCGUGCCGGUGUACUUCCCCGCGAGCGGGCCAGCGUCGGUUUGGGCGGUCGGUCAAAGGCCUCUGGAAGGUAACGCCCCCUCGGGGGCGUCUUAUAGCCAGGGGUGCAAUGCGGCCUGCCCGGACCGAGGAACGCGCUUCGGCUCGGACGCUGGCAUAAUGGUCGUAAGCGACCCGUCUUGAAACACGGACCAAGGAGUCUAACAUCUACGCGAGUGUUCGGGUGUCAAACCCGUGCGCGAAGUGAAAGCGAACGGAGGUGGGAACCCGCAAGGGUGCACCAUCGACCGAUCCUGAAGUCUUCGGAUGGAUUUGAGUAAGAGCGUAGCUGUUGGGACCCGAAAGAUGGUGAACUAUGCCUGAAUAGGGCGAAACCCGAGGAAACUCUGGUGGAGGCUCGUAACGGUUCUGACGUGCAAAUCGAUCGUCCAAUUUGGGUAU